Non-coding RNA from Triticum aestivum (bread wheat), 135 nucleotides. The record is from Rfam. Lineage: Eukaryota; Viridiplantae; Streptophyta; Magnoliopsida; Poales; Poaceae.
UUUCUACUCCCUCCGUCCGAAAAUACUUGUCAUCAAAAUGGAUAAAAAGAGAUGUAUACAAAACUAAAAUACGUCUAGAUACAUUUCCUUUUAUCCAUUUUGAUGACAAGUAUUUCCGGACAGAGGGAGUAUUUG